RNAcentral lists this long non-coding RNA (1516 nucleotides) under Pongo abelii (Sumatran orangutan). RNAcentral's name for it is "lncRNA (ENSPPYG00000039845.1)". Lineage: Eukaryota; Metazoa; Chordata; Mammalia; Primates; Hominidae. The record is from RNAcentral.
GAUAUUGCGGGUAAAAAAAAUCAAUCCAAAGCUUCCUGGUAGAAAUGAAUAUUUCAGAGCAAUGAUUUUGCAAUAACAAGUUGGCAUAAACUGCAAAUAACCUUUUCUGUGGGGCCAAAAUAUUAACUAUGCUUCAGGAAGACAGGCUUUGGUGCCUCAAACAAGAUCAGACCUCAUGUACCCAAUACAGCUAUCAUUCCAGCUAAAGAUGGGAUGCAGGUUGAUAUGGUCUGGCUCUGUGUCCGCACACAAAUCUCAUAUUGAAUUGUACUCCCAUAAUUCCCACGUGUUGUGCAAGGGACCUGGUAGGAGAUAACUGAAUCACGGUGGCGGUUCCCCCCACCAUACUGCUCUCGUGGUAGUAAGUCUCAAGAGAUCUGAUGGUUUUAUCAGGGGUUUCUGAUUUUGCAUCUUCCUCAUUCUCUCUUCGCCUGCUGCCAUCCAUGGAAGAUGGGACUUGCUCCUCCUUGCCUUCCGCGAUGAUUGUGAGGCUUCCCCAGCCGCAUGGAACUGUAAGUCCAAUUAAGCCUCUUUCUUUUGUAAGUUGCCCCGUCUUAGGUAUGUCUUUACCAGCAGCAUGAAAACGGACUAAUACACAAGUUAUGUAUUUACCACCAAAUUCUCAUCUAUUUGGGGUCAAGGGCCAUGCCUCCUAUCUGCUUAUACCUCCAGGUCAGAGCCCGCACUUGGCCAAAUGUAUACACACUGAAUGAAUGAUCCGUGGUAUUCAACACCUUGAAGUUAUAUAUCCAUAAAAAUAAUCUUAAACUCAAGUACACAUUGCAGUUUAAAAUUUUCAGAACAAUUUCUGAGAUCAAAACAAUUAUCAUGGAUACAGAUUCUCUACUUUGAUACAUUAAAACUAUCAUCCCAAAUCCACUUAUCUCAAUCUUUUCUUAAUGAAAUAAAAGGGAUCUAAAAGCCAGAAGAGUCAACAGAAUAUUCAGUUCCAAAGUAUCACCCCAUAUAGGACUGUUAAUUAAGAGAGGGUUCAGGUACCCCUACAAUGGAGAGAUCUGACAGACACCAUCUUCACGAAAGGAUCAAACUUGUCAACAAAGGUACAAACUGACAUCUCUUAAGGUGAUCCACAGAUAAGUGUACAUCACCUAUGCAGGUGGCAUUCUGAACAAAAAAUCUGAGUCUAAUAAUGAAGAAAAUCAGAGGAAGCUAGAUUUUAAACAUUCUAUGAAACAGUUGGCAUGGGCCAGGCAUGGUGGCUCACGCCUGUAAUCCCAACACUUUGAAAGGCCGAGGUGGGUGGAUCACUUGAGAUCAGGAGUUCCAGACCAGCCUAGCCAACAUGGUGAAACCCUGUCUCUACUAAAAAAAAAAAAAAAAAAAAAAUUAGCUGGGCAUGGUGUACAUGCCUGUAAUCCCAGCUACUCGGGAGGCUGAGGCAGGAGAAUGGUGUGAACCUGGGAGGUGGAGCUUGCAGUGAGCCGAGAUCGAGCCACUGCACUCCAGCCUGGGCGAUGGAGUGAGACUCCGUCUCAAAAAAAAAAAAAAAAAAAAA